CCUACGUGCGACAGCAGUGGGGAAUAUUGCACAAUGGGCGAAAGCCUGAUGCAGCAACGCCGCGUGAGAGAUGAAGGCCUUCGGGUCGGAAAGCUCUGUCCUCAAGGAAGAGAAUUACGGUACUUGAGGAGGAAUCCCCGGCUAACUACGUUCCAGCAGCCGCGGUAAUACGCGGGGGGCUAGCGUUAUCCGGAAUUACUGGGCGUAAGGGGGGCGUAGGUGGUUUCUUAAGUCAGAGGUGAAAGGCUGCGGCUCAACCGUAGUAAGCCUUUGAAACUGGGGAACUUGAGUGCAGGAGAGGAGAGUGGAAUUCCUAGUGUAGCGGUGAAAUGCGUAGAUAUUAGGAGGAACACCAGUUGCGAAGGCGGCUCUCUGGACUGUAACUGACACUGAGGCACGAAAGCGUGGGGAGCAAACAGGAUUAGAUACCCGAGUAGUC
RNAcentral lists this ribosomal RNA (439 nucleotides) under uncultured bacterium. RNAcentral's name for it is "partial 16S ribosomal RNA". It matches the Rfam family "Bacterial small subunit ribosomal RNA", at positions 338 to 795 of the family's 1533-position model. The record is from RNAcentral.